RNAcentral lists this ribosomal RNA (481 nucleotides) under uncultured bacterium. RNAcentral's name for it is "partial 16S ribosomal RNA". It matches the Rfam family "Bacterial small subunit ribosomal RNA", at positions 28 to 507 of the family's 1533-position model. The record is from RNAcentral.
GAUGAACGCUGGCGACGUGCUUAACACAUGCAAGUCGAACGAAGCACUUUAUUUGAUUUCCUUCGGGACUGAUUAUUUUGUGACUGAGUGGCGGACGGGUGAAUAACGCGUGGGUAACCUGCCUUGUACAGGGGGAUAACAGUUGGAAACGGCUGCUAAUACCGCAUAAGCGCACAGCAUCGCAUGAUGCAGUGUGAAAAACUCCGGUGGUAUAAGAUGGACCCGCGUUGGAUUAGCUAGUUGGUGAGGUAACGGCCCACCAAGGCGACGAUCCAUAGCCGACCUGAGAGGGUGACCGGCCACAUUGGGACUGAGACACGGCCCAAACUCCUACGGGAGGCAGCAGUGGGGAAUAUUGCACAAUGGGCGAAAGCCUGAUGCAGCGACGCCGCGUGAGCGAAGAAGUAUUUCGGUAUGUAAAGCUCUAUCAGCAGGGAAGAUAAUGACGGUACCUGACUAAGAAGCACCGGCUAAAUACGUG